GACGAACGCUGGCGGCGUGCUUAACACAUGCAAGUCGAACGGAAAGGCCCUGCUUUUGUGGGGUGCUCGAGUGGCGAACGGGUGAGUAACACGUGAGUAACCUGCCCUUGACUUUGGGAUAACUUCAGGAAACUGGGGCUAAUACCGGAUAGGAGCUCCUGCUGCAUGGUGGGGGUUGGAAAGUUUCGGCGGUUGGGGAUGGACUCGCGGCUUAUCAGCUUGUUGGUGGGGUAGUGGCUUACCAAGGCUUUGACGGGUAGCCGGCCUGAGAGGGUGACCGGCCACAUUGGGACUGAGAGACGGACCAGACUCCUACGGGAGGCAGCAGUGGGGAAUAUUGCACAAUGGGCGGAAGCCUGAUGCAGCAACGCCGCGUGCGGGAUGACGGCCUUCGGGUUGUAAACCGCUUUCGCCUGUGACGAAGCGUGAGUGACGGUAAUGGGUAAAGAAGCACCGGCUAACUACGUG
RNAcentral lists this ribosomal RNA (468 nucleotides) under uncultured bacterium. Its description in RNAcentral is "partial 16S ribosomal RNA". It matches the Rfam family "Bacterial small subunit ribosomal RNA", at positions 28 to 507 of the family's 1533-position model. The record is from RNAcentral.